GCUGAGAUAGCCAAGAACCAUGAGAGUCCUCCUUCCUGUUCUGCUGAGCAUCUUGCUCUGUAUAGAGCCAGGUAAGAUCUUGGGACUUUUUUUAGUAGUAGGGGAGGGAAAUCUGGAACUGGGAAGAGGGAGAGCCUUAGUAUUGGGGGAAGGAUGGUUCUGUUUUUUGGUUCAAGGGAUUGUGGUUUUGAAUUUGUAGAUUUAGUGAAUUGUAUGUGUCAGAUAAAUGGUGUCUCUUUGGGAGAUGGGUAGAGGGUGGUAGGAAAGAAUGCUGGGACUUCUGUGGGAAGAUCUUGCCCUCCUUAGAACUCUGACCCUUGAGGUCUGAGCUGAGAAAGAAGUCUGCUUCUUCCAGAGCUUUGUCUCAACCAUGGAUAUCUUAGGGGUGGAGCAUGUAGGUCUUUAUACUGCAGUUCUGGAUGUCCUUCCUCAGUCUAACCAAAGGAAUUUCUUCUUUACAGCUCAUUCUCUCAAAUGCUACAACUGUACCAAGGUACAGCAAUCCAGUCAGUGCACCUCUGUUCAGUGCCCGGGGUCAGCAACUCACUGUGGGAGUUUGGAAGCUGGAGAAAAAAAUGGGCCAGAGAACCAAAAGUUUCACUUCAAGGGCUGUACUAAUUCCUGUGAAAAUUUUUUCACGGAAUCAUUUUCAAAGGCCCAUAUGUUGAUCCCCCAAGCUAUCAUUGAAGUGGGUUAUUCCUGCUGUUCAAAAGAACUGUGUAAUGGGGCUGAUGGGAUCAGGAGCAGCCCCUUUGCUCUGCUAGGAGCACUCCUACUCAGCCUUGGACCUGCCUUCUUCUGGGCCAUGAUAUGGAGACACAGAGAAUGGAGGAAUAGCUCCCUAGGACAGGAGCAUGACUCAGAACUUUGGACCAGAAAAGACUUCAAGAUUCUAGAGACCUUCCUGAGAUAUUCACUGGUGGAUUCGAGAAAGCCAGGAUGA
This 943-nucleotide long non-coding RNA is filed under the name Sarcophilus harrisii (Tasmanian devil). RNAcentral describes it as "lncRNA (ENSSHAG00000024000.1)". Lineage: Eukaryota; Metazoa; Chordata; Mammalia; Dasyuromorphia; Dasyuridae. The record is from RNAcentral.